This 1877-nucleotide long non-coding RNA is filed under the name Lynx pardinus (Iberian lynx). The record is from RNAcentral. Lineage: Eukaryota; Metazoa; Chordata; Mammalia; Carnivora; Felidae.
CUAAGGUGGUCCUCCAGAAAUGUGCCAGAUUAACUUCCUGCCAUCAGCGUGUGAAAGUGACCACUUCCCACACCCUCACCAGCACCGAGCAGGUAAGCCAACGCUGUUCGUUCUGUCUUGUCUAACUUUCUAACACUUAUCUUUAACUUCUUAUGUUAUUCUUUAAAAGUGGUCUUUUUCGUGUCAUAAAUUCAAAUCGUACUGAAAUAUGAGAAGUAGAGAGGAGGUCUCCCUUUAUUCUGACCUCCCCAUAUUCCUCUAUGUGGAUGUAAGGUGACUUAUUUCACCGAGGCGAUGAAUGCGCUUGCCCCUUUAUCUCUGAUCAUUUAUGGGCAACUUUGUGCAGCAUACAUUUCAAGUGGGAUUAUGCCACCUGAUUCCUUUGGAUAGCUGCCUCCAAACUGCCUUCCAAAAAAUGUUGCAUUAUUUUACAAUUCUGUCAAAAGUGCACGAGAAUGCCCAUUUCCCCACAUCUGCAUCACCACUGGGUAUUACUGAUUUUUUAAUUUUUUCCACUCUUUGGGUAAAAAGUAUGAUCUCAUUCUUGUUUUAAUGUACAUUUCUUGUGUUUCUGAUAGUUAAUUGUUUGAUGUCCUUUUUUAUUUUUGUCAGAAAUGUCUAUGGAUUGUCACCUGUAGUGUUGGUUUAUCCACUGCAUUUGGAUUGAAAAAAUCUAGAAAACUGUUCCAACAUUUCUGAUCUUAAGACAAAAAAGCUUAUUCCACAUCCUAUUCUGGUUCCUGUCUUACUUUUAUAUUAAGUCCGAAAUAGAAUUUCCUUCUAUAUGUGCCCUCACACAGGCCUCUCUGUCUUAGAAACCAGACUCCCGGUUGCUUAAGGCAAAAAUCUUGAAGCCUUCUUUCAUUUUUCUCUUCAAGGCUCAGACAAGGCCAUCGACAAACGCUGUCGGCUCGAACUCGGGGACCGUCUGAAGCCAUUCGCUUUCCUCCAUUCCCACUGCUGCCUCCCUUGCAAGCCACUACGGGCCCUUGGAUAGAGUGGAGUCCUCUUUUCCACCCGGGCAGUCAGCACCUCAGCACCUAGCGUGGCCUUUCACGAAGGCCGAUCAGAUGACGCCCCUCUGCUCAGCCUGCUCUGUGCCUCCUGCCUCACCUAAGACAAAAUCCACACUUCCUGCCCCGGCUCACGAGGUUCACUACCGCUGCUUUGUCUCUGCUCCAGCCACGCUGGCCUUCUGCAAACCGUCAAGGUCAUCUCGUCUCGGGGUCCCUCAGCUCCUCCUUCCUCCAGGCAUCCUCCUUUCCUGGGGUGGGCUCCACAAUCCGCAGACGAUCCCUCCCACUGAUCACCCCUCGUUACUCUGGGAUAUUUUUAAACCCGUGGAUAUGACCUAUUUCUAAGCUCUAGGAGAGUCUGUUUCGUUUCAUUCCCUUCUCCGCUCCCAGUGCCCAGAGAGGUGCCUGGCAUAGAACAGGCUCUUGAUAAAUGUUGAGUUAACUAGUGAAUGGGUGGAAAGAUGCUACUUAUGCACUACUUUUGGAUGCCAGGCCUUUGUUUGUAGGGUUCCGGCAGGCUGCAAUACGUUAAUCUGUUCAGUCUGUUUUUUAGAGAUAAUUUCUAAACUUCUGUCCUUCAUGGCCGACGCAGAAAGCCUUUCUCAGCCUGAUGUGAUGUCUCCCUUCUUUGAGCCCCGUAGCGCCUCGUGCUUCUUGGAGACACCUAGUCCUUGCUGAGUAUGUCCUGGGCCUUUAAGUCUCUAAUUAAGUCCAACAGAAUUUCAGGGUCUUGACGACGUGUUUCCCCACCUGUUUCUUCCACAGCAGCCAGUAUGGCGUCACACACAGGCUGGGGGCUCUACGAACAUUUGCUCGAUUGAAACCGUUCUUGCUGUCAUUGCCUUGCGUAGCAUGUUGGGG